UACAGAGGGUGCGAGCGUUAAUCGGAAUUACUGGGCGUAAAGCGCGCGUAGGCGGCUUUGCAAGUCGGGUGUGAAAUCCCCGGGCUUAACCUGGGAACUGCAUUUGUGACUGCAUGGCUAGAGUGCGGCAGAGGGGGAUGGAAUUCCGCGUGUAGCAGUGAAAUGCGUAGGUAUGCGGAGGAACACCGAUGGCGAAGGCAAUCCCCUGGGCCUGCACUGACGCUCAUGCACGAAAGCGUGGGGAGCAAACAGG
RNAcentral lists this ribosomal RNA (253 nucleotides) under uncultured bacterium. RNAcentral's name for it is "partial 16S ribosomal RNA". It matches the Rfam family "Bacterial small subunit ribosomal RNA", at positions 524 to 776 of the family's 1533-position model. The record is from RNAcentral.